RNAcentral lists this ribosomal RNA (292 nucleotides) under uncultured bacterium. RNAcentral describes it as "partial 16S ribosomal RNA". The record is from RNAcentral.
GGACUACAAGGGUAUCUAAUCCUGUUUGCUCCCCGCACUUUCGCGCCUCAGCGUCAGUCAUCGGCUGGAAAUCCGCCUUCGCCACCGGUGUUCUUCCUGAUAUCUACAGAUUUCACCCCUACACCAGGAAUUCCGAUUCCCCCUCCGUGACUCUAGCCUUGCAGUUUCCAACGCAGUUCAUGGGUUAAGCCCAUGUAUUUCACGUCAGACUUUCACGGCCGCCUACGCGCCCUUUACGCCCAAUAAUUCCGAACAACGCUCGCCCCUUACGUGUUACCGCGGCUGCUGGCAC